GGUAGUGGCAUCUUCCUGUUAAUAGCUUGCACCUUCACGGGUUCCGCCAAACCAGUUUGGAUUACCUUGUCUUUGGUCUCUUCGAUAACAGUAGGUUUCUUACUAGGGCAAUUAUAUGCAUAAUGCCCUCUUGCAAGACAUUUGUAACACUUAGGAUUCCGGCUAGGGACUUCCUUAGCAGAAGGCGAUCCAGUUAACUCCCCCAGAGUUGGC
This 213-nucleotide long non-coding RNA is filed under the name Linum usitatissimum (flax). Its description in RNAcentral is "long non-coding RNA (LUSI_LNC000213)". The record is from RNAcentral. Lineage: Eukaryota; Viridiplantae; Streptophyta; Magnoliopsida; Malpighiales; Linaceae.